RNAcentral lists this long non-coding RNA (7707 nucleotides) under Phaseolus vulgaris (common bean). Its description in RNAcentral is "long non-coding RNA (PVUL_LNC003244)". The record is from RNAcentral. Lineage: Eukaryota; Viridiplantae; Streptophyta; Magnoliopsida; Fabales; Fabaceae.
UUCAAUGCCACCUCCCAACUCAGGAAGAAAUCAAAUACAAUUCCAAGGUCUAAGAAUGUAUGUUUAGAAGCAUUUACAUUUCACAACUUCCUUUGCUUCAAUUUUUCUCUGAGGUGUAUUAGUUUUCCCUGGACCUGUUUAGGUAACUCAUCAUCUGAUGAUAACCCAAUUUCAAUCCCUUCUACUUGUUCUCUCUGUAUAAUAUCAUGGUACAUUGGUAGAAACCCUCUUUGGAAAGACCUAUAGGAGAAAUAGGGUAGCAGCACACACAAGAACAAAAGGGUUACUAGCCAAUACAUUACAAGAAAAUCACCAAAUAGAAACCAAUUUUUAGAAACCAAAAUAAUUAGUUGCAAUAAUAACUAAAUUAGACACCAUUUUAGAAACUAAAACAAAAAUUGGUUUCGAAAUUAGUUUAUAUUAUUUUCUAUUAUUGUUAAAUAGUUUCUAAAUUUGUAUCUAAUUAGCAACCAAUGUUUUAUCUACCAAUUAUUUAGUUUCAGUUUCGGACAUUUAAACACAUAAAGCUCUUGAAGACGUGGAAAAGAAGUAGUUUUACACUCCCAUUCUUCCCAUUCCUUCAUAUCGUAGAAUGCCAGUCUCUCUAAGGAUGCAAAGGAGGAGCAAUGCUCACUAUUCCAUCAAGCCGUCUAAUCUCAAGGGUCUUCAGUGAUGACAAAAGUCCAAGGGGAGGUAAACAUAGAGAGGCAAACAUAGACAGUAUUUACAGUGCUGCAACACUAAGCACACCAGAUUUGAUAACGAAUUAUCAAUACCCAACUUGGAAAUUUUGUACCACUGUAGUUCGUGAUUGACAAACUCUCCAACUGAUUGGAAGGUUGUAGAUUCUGAAGUACUUCCUUUUCUUUCCUUGGAUCAUCAGCGAUGUGGUCCGACUUCCAUUCUAAUUCUAGGUCUACAAGGUGUCUAUCUUUCAUAUUUGCUUCUAAUGCAUCCAAAGGAUUGGAAAUAUUCUGCACUUCUUUGAUUGAUAGCUUUCUUCCAUAAAGAUUGAGUCCUCCUAAUGCACCCAGUUGCUUAGUAAUUAGCUCACUAUUUCUAUCCACUAAAAUCGGAUUUAGUACUUGAAGAUUCUUCAAUUCUCCAAAAUGCAUUGGCAUCUUUGACACUCUUGUACCUUUAAAUUCUAGGCAACGCAAUUUGGUAAGUUUAUGCAAAUUUAUGGGCAAUUCCUCCAACUCGUAACAAUUGUUCAACUUCAGAAUUAGUAAGUUAUAAAGCAAACAUAUCGAGUCAGGUAGCUUUUUUAUCUUAGUACACCACGAAAGAUCACCUACAGAAUCUGGGACCUCUCUAAGGUAAAAACAACCACGGAAAGAUAACACGCGUAGAAAAGAUAACACGCGUAUAAACUUAAUUUUGGAAAACAAAUCAUGUAUCGAAAUCUUGAAAUGCCACCAAGCUCUCGUUUUUGAGAUAGAAAGAAAUGAACGAAGUCUUUUAGCAUCAGUCAAACUCUCAAAACCAUCAAAACUUUUGACGUCACUGAAUUCAAAUGAAAAAUGACGGGUUGUUUUCGGUAUACAUCGGCCUUUAUCAAAUUUCAACCUGAAACAGAAAUCCACACAUACAUAUUUUGCCAAAUCAUUCAGAAGGUCAUGCAUGACGAAACAUCUCCCACCACCUGAUUGUUGAAAGAAAGACCUUGACAGUAGAUCAUUGAAGUACUCUUCACCAACUUCUUCUGGAUGUCUAAUAUGUUGUGGACUUUGUAGAAAAUUUUGGGCCAUCCACACCAAAAUUAACUCCGCCUUCACAAACAGAUAAUCUUUGGGGAAUAAGGCACAAUAAGUAAAGCACCUUUUAAGAUGAGAAGGAAGAUAGCGAUAGCUCAAAAAUAACGCAGGGAUAAUUUCACUGUGUUCUUUUGGUAACUCCCAUAUGUCACUUUCCAAUAUGUUCUUCCAAUCUGAAAUGGAUGACUUUGUGCGUAAAGACAUCCAAUUGUUUUCAAAGCUAGAGGUAAUCCCUUGCACUUCUCAACUAUCCUUCUACCAACCUUCAUUAACUCAUCAUUCAAUUCAAGAUCACCAUCUUUUAAUGCAUGAUUUUCAAAAACUUUCCAGCAUUCAUCCUCUCCUAAUUGCUUUAGAAGAUGCACUUCAGACCUCAUGCUAGAAGCAACUUUCUCACCACGAGUUGUGACAAGAAUUCUACUUCCUGGAGCUCCACAACUAAGAGGAGUUCGCACAACUUCCCAUUCUGCUGGUCUUUCGUUCCAAACAUCAUCCAAAACAAGAAGAAAUUUCUUUCCUGACAAUUUUUCUUUCAGUUUUUUGUGAACCAUUUCUAGGUUCCCCCUGUCAUCUUUUUGAUUUGUGAUUGCCUCAAGAAUUGUUCUUGUCACGGUCAAAACAUGAAAAUGAUCAGAAACACAGACCCAUGCUUUGAUAUCAAAUUUUGCAUCCUCGAUCUUUGGGUCACUGUACACAUGUUGGGCGAGUGUAGUCUUACCCAAGCCACCCAUGCCCACAAUGGAAAGUAUUGAUGGGUGGUUAGGAUUGUCGAUUUCAGAUGUGAGCCAAUUAAUGAUUAUAUCUUUGUCAGCAUCUCUGCCGUAAAUAACACUUUCAACCACCAAAGAAGAUGAUGGCAAUUGAAGCGUUACUACCUGAUCCAUCAUCACCAGAAUAAGUACCCUCGUUCAAACGAAGAGCAUCCUUUUGUUUUGCAAGAUAUUCUAGUUUCUCCAUGACUUCUUUCAUCUUUGAUUCAAUUUUCUUGUUAAAUGAAGCGAAAGUAGAGUUGAAGAAAUUUGAUACCUUGUAAUUAAAGGUUUGAGAUUGGGAUUGAGCGUGGACUUGGCAUCUGGUGAAUUCAUAGUCUAUUUCACCCAACAGAUCCUCUGCAUCAAAGACAGCCUCUUUGACAGCAAGAAGCCAUGCUUUGACGUCUGGAUUUGUGAACUGCUUUAGUUCAGCAUCAUCAGCGAGAGCAUUGAUGGAAUGCAGCAUGAUGUUCAAAUUGGGGAGCAGUUUCUCAUCAAGUUUUCUUCCACGAAAGAAGUCUAGAAGUUGAGGAGAAGCGAGCCUGUGGAAUACAACCUGAAGAAAGGCGGAAAGAAGAGCACCACCAACAAGUUCAGCUGCCAUGGUAGGAAGGAGUUGGAAAUGAAGUGAAAUGGAUUGAGUGCAGGAAUGAAUGGUAUAGUGAUGAAUGAAAAGAGUAGUUAGAAAGGAUGACUUCACUUUAGAACAUGUUGUUCUUUUAUGGCAACUCAACCAAUAUAAAAUGUGAGCUGUUGGAUAUUCAUUCAACGGUUGUGAUGAAUGAAAGUAGGGCGGGAAGAGGAACGAACAAUGCAAUAAUGAUAAUAUCUGACUCGAAAUAAUAUCUUUUAUGUAACAAUUAAGCAGUAAUUGUUAACUGUUUCUGAUGUACUAAUUGGCAUCCUUUCGUUAUUCACUUAAUUUCGUUUAUGUCUUUCUUUUCUCUGUAUUUAUAAUUUUUUUAAUUUGGUUCAAUAGUAAUUUUUAUCUCUUUAUUUAUACUUUUAUUAUUUUUGAAAGGUCUCAAAUUAGUUUUACUUUUAUUUAAAAUUAGUCAGAAAAGAUAUUUUAAUAUUGUUUCAUUGACUAACUUUAAGUGGGACUUAACAUUGAUUUGGUAUUAUUGUAGUUUGUUGUUCUAUGUAUAAUAGUGUGCUUAAAAUACUAUGCAAACAAGACUAAUAGAAGUAUCACUCUUGACCACCCUCUUUUUUAGGUUUUUUUCCUUUAAUUCUUCUAAUUACAGAAUUUUAUAGCCUCCGACCCUGCAGUUAUAUUACAUUGAAGACAGAAAAUAAUUAUCUCUUUAAGCAUCAUCAACUUUAAGUCCUUUUGAAUAACAUGCUUUUGAAUAAUUAUCUCUGAAGGAAGGAGCAAAAAUGUCCUAGCUCAAUCUAGUGCUCAAGCUAAAAAAAUCUAUAAAUAUGAGACUUAUGAAUGAAUAGGGAGAUAUAUAAUUUUUAGUUUAAUAGUUUUGUUCUAUUUUCUUUCUUUCUAUUUGUAAAAGUAGUAUAUUAAGUGGAGACUUAUGAGUGUGUUGUACUACCUCCAGAUAUAAAAGGGAUGGUGUAAAACAAAGUGUGGAAAAAAGGUAAUUGAAAAUUAUAGGAUUAGUGUCUGAAACAAAGAAGAUUGUAAUCGAAAAGAUAGAGAGAUAUUGUGCAGAAUUAGCAGGUGUUGAAGUUGCAGACAAAGGAAAAUAAAAGAGUGUGAGAGUGGAGAGGUGACAGAUAGGUGAGACUCAGAUAUUGCAGAUAAUCCUUCACUCAUCAGUAUAUAGACUCAUGAGAUCAUUCAAUUCGUGCAAUGAUAUGCCAUAGAUAAAAUCAGUGUUUUUCAACUUAGAAUCUCUUAACCAUUAUGUUGAAAAGUUCCAAUAAAUGAGUACAAAUUUUCAUUAGGAUCCUCACAUUUAACCAUAGCCCUGAACUUUUGGAGAGAUUUUUCAUCAUGAAGAUGAGUUGUCACCUCCAAAGCAUGCUUUAAUUUCAGAUUAGUUUCUCCGUCAAGAUUCAUAGUCUCGACAUAAUUUUAUUUUAUUGUUUUGAAAGAUCUCAAAUUGGUUUUACUUUCAUUUAAAAAUUGACACAAUCUUUUUUUUUCUAAUAUUGUUUCAUUGACUAACUCUACAGUGGGACUUAAUACCGAUUUAGUAUUAUGUUUUCUGGUUGGUAGUAAUUAGGUAUUAAUUUGGCCAUAAAAUAUUUUGUAUUUGACAUAUGUAUUCAUGUGGAGGUUGAUAAUUUUUCAACCCAAGCUUGGAAACCAUCUACCGAAUAUGGAUUGAUCAAGGACCUUGGUGACAAUGUCAACAUGUUGCUCAGAACUCUUGAAAGGGAGAAGAUGAAAUAAUUCAGAUUGUAGUUUAUCUCUAAUGACGUGACACUCUAUUUCGAUAUGUUUAAUGUGUUUGAGAAAAAUAAGAUUUGAAGCAAUGUGUCGGACAACUUGAUUAUCGCAGAACAGAUGGGCAUUUUGUUGAAUAUUGAUCUGAAGAUCUUGCAGAAGAAAAAUGAGCUAUUGGAUUUCACUAUGCAGUGGUAGCAAGAGCUCGAUAUUCAGUUUCGGACGAAGAACGCAAAAUAGUACUUUGUUUUUUUUCCACAAAAUCAAGUAUUCUAGCUCUAGAAACGGAAAGAGCAAAAACAGAGAAAAGAUGAACAAUUUUAGGAGUUUUUUUUUGUAUUUCUAAUUUUAAUAUAUUAUUUAAAUAAAAAUAAUAAUUUUCUUAUCAGUUAGAUAUAAAAUGUUGCUUUUAAAAUGAAAAUAAUGUUAAUAUUUGAAUCUCAUGAUAGAAAUUUUGUAUUUGGUUUAUAUGUAAGAAAGUUAUGCUAUAUAUAAAGUGUAUGAUUAAAAAAUUAAUGAAACUCUUCCAUACGAUAGAUUUCUUCUUGUACAAAUAUAUUUUGUACUGUGCAUUCACAAUCACAUGCAUUUAGCAAAGUAAGAGGGAGUGAAAGAAAAUCUUUAUUGGUAAAAGACUCUAAAUCCACUCUUUGAAUAUACAAGAUUUGUAGAGAGGUGUUGGCUCCCAAUAAUCACUUUUUAUCUCCAACUAUACAAGACAAUACUUGGUGAACAAGAAAAUUUACACUUCUGUAACUUUGUUGUUGCUGUUCAGAGUCUUUAAACUUUUAGUGCAGAGCAAGAGUUUUUCUGUUGCAGGAGGAUCUCCAGAUUGUAGAGGAGAGGUAAUAAAGUAGUAAAAUAUAAUUAACUCUUAUUUUUGAAUGGGAAGAGAGAUUACAAGGAUGUGAAAUAAAACAGGAGAGACAUGGUUUUUUAUUGGAAGAAUCAGAUUUGUUUGAGAAUGAAAUAAAACAAAAGAAGAGAGCACACUCAGAAACUCUAACACUCACUUUCUCCAACAAUCUUGGCACAAGUUUGCUCUUCAUCCUCUGGAACUCAUAUCUAAGCUUGAGUAGGGAGAUGGAUGGUGUUUGGUACACGCCCUUGUACUUAUUUUCUCUGUAUAAUAAAUAUCAUGGUACACUGCUACAAACCAACUUUGGAAGACCUGUGGAAGAAAUAAGGUAGAAACAAAGCAUAAGCACAUUGUUCCAUUAACUUAAAAUUCAAGAAAGAAUGAAUGUAUCCAUCAUAAAUACAUCAGCAUACAAAUUUUAUAGAGCUUCAUGUUUAGAUUUUUCCCAUUAAAUUGCAGUGCUAAAGCUUCACAAUGUUAAUUGCUUUCGCAGCAAGCUGCAUAUUUAGAUAACAAAUGUGUUGAGCCAUAUUGAUUAAAGGAGAUUCUGCAAUGGGGUUGGACAUUCUGAAUUGAGUAUGGUGAGUGAGUGAUGUAGUUGAUGAAUGAUAAAGCACAUGUCUCUGCCAUUAAUGUAUAUUCUAAUUCCUACUUUCAGAACCUCUACCAUAUCAUGGAAAAUGUUCGACACAGGGAGGUCUGGCUAAAGAAAAUUUCAAGGCUCAUCAGUUUAUUGUAAUUAACACAUGCCUGCUGAGCUAUACAAUCUUAAACAUACGCCUUUUAAAUUCCAAUUACAGGUUCCUUAGAUACAGAGUGUCCCUUAUGCCCACUGCAGUUUCCAUUCAUGUUUCUAAAUUGCUUCUGAAAUUAACAUUUUAUAUAGAGGAAAUAUUCUUUAAUUCAGACAGAAGCAAUUUUAAUAAUUAAUAAAAUUUUGUACCUUCAGACAAAGUUUUGCAGAAACAACUUGAUAGAAGAUGUCUAGAGCGAUUAGUUGAAGUGAAGAAGGCUUUGUGUGGGUUUGGCACUGAAAUGGAUGGAUGUGUGGCCUUGCACAUUGGACCCUUUUUUAAGAAAAUUUCAAGGCUCAUCAGUUUAUUCUAAUUAAUUACCAAAUGAGGUAUAGAAUCUUACACCAUUUGACAUUAAGUCAAGUUGCCUAAGAGAUAUAUAAAUCAUACUCCAAGAAUUGAUACCAGUGAUAUGGAACUUUUCCCCACAUCCCAUCAAAGCCUGAUAGCAUGUCACCUAUUCCACAGCACCAGAACCAAACUCACUCUAUAUCUAUAAAACAAAAAGCUGAAUUUCAGUGUUGGAAUAUUUGUUAAUUAUCUGACAAAGACUACAAUCAUAUUGCCAAAGUAUCGUAUAAAAGAUGCUUUAAAUUAGUAAAUAAAGUUAAGAUAUUUCUAAUCCCAGGUAUUUAUAUUAUUUAGUUGAAGUCAUGCAUUAAAUGAACUAACUAGCAGUGUAUGAAUCAAAUAAUUUAGAAAAUAUCAAGUUGAGUUUUAUCUUACUGAGGGCUAAAUAUGAUUUUUUUUUCUAAUGGUAGGAAUUGAACACAAGUAGCAGAAGGUUUUCAAUAACUCACACUACUGAACCAAUUGAGUAUAAAGUUGUUUUUCUAAUGGGCAGUAGUGUUACAUUUAUUUGCAAUGCUCACAACUUCAAUGCCACCUCCCAACUCAGGAAGAAAUCAAAUACAAUUCCAAGGUCUAAGAAUGUAUGUUUAGAAGCAUUUACAUUUCACAACUCCCUUUGCUUCAAUCUUUCUCUGAGGUGUAUUAGUUUUCCCUGGACCUGUUUAGGUAACUCAUCAUCUGAUGAUAACCUAAUUUCAAUCCCUUCUACUUGUUCUCUCUGUAUAAUAUCAUGGUACAUUGGUAGAAACCCUCUUUGGAAAGACCUAUAGGAGAAAUAGGGUAGCAGCACACACAAGAACAAAAGGGUUACUAGCCAAUAUAGACCACUGGGAGCACAUGCUUCCAC